ACUCCUACGGGAGGCAGCAGUAGGGAAUCUUCCACAAUGGGCGAAAGCCUGAUGGAGCAAUGCCGCGUGAGUGAAGAAGGUUUCGGAUCGUAAAACUCUGUUGUUGAAGAAGAACAUGCGUGAGAGUAACUGUUCACGUACUGACGGUAUUCAACCAGAAAGCCACGGCUAACUACGUGCCAGCAGCCGCGGUAAUACGUAGGUGGCAAGCGUUGUCCGGAUUUAUUGGGCGUAAAGAGAAUGUAGGCGGUUUAUUAAGUUUGAAGUGAAAGCCCUCGGCUCAACCGAGGAAGUGCUUCGAAAACUGGUAAACUUGAGUGCAGAAGAGGAAAGUGGAACUCCAUGUGUAGCGGUGGAAUGCGUAGAUAUAUGGAAGAACACCAGUGGCGAAGGCGGCUUUCUGGUCUGUAACUGACGCUGAGAUUCGAAAGCAUGGGUAGCAAACAGGAUUAGAUACCCCUGGUAGCGACUGA
Molecule: ribosomal RNA, 473 nt
Filed under: uncultured bacterium
Lineage: Bacteria
Description: bacterial SSU rRNA
Rfam family: Bacterial small subunit ribosomal RNA
Source: RNAcentral